RNAcentral lists this ribosomal RNA (604 nucleotides) under Sclerogaster luteocarneus. Its description in RNAcentral is "eukaryotic LSU rRNA". The stretch from base 233 to 387 matches the Rfam family "5.8S ribosomal RNA". The record is from RNAcentral. Lineage: Eukaryota; Fungi; Basidiomycota; Agaricomycetes.
CAUUACUGUGUUAAUUGGAUAGGGGUUGAGCUGGCCUUUGUGCACUGUGCUUACCCCUUUCAUUUCUUCUUCUAUACAUACACUGUGUGCACUUUAAAGAGUGAAAAGAGUGGGACGCUACUCAUCACUUUGAGAGGGAGGAGUGGGACGCUACUUAUCCCUUUCAAAUUUACAUUAAUGCCUGUCUAUAUGCAUGUCUUAUAUAUGUGCCCUUAAGGGGGGAAAAUAUAAUAACUUUCAACAACGGAUCUCUUGGCUUUUGCAUCGAUGAAGAACGCCGCGAAUGUGCGAAACGUAAUGUGAAUUGCAGAAUUCAGUGAAUCAUCGAAUCUUUGAACGCAUCUUGCGCUCCUUGGUAUUCCGAGGAGCAUGCCUGUUUGAGUGUCAUGAUAAAUCUCUCAAUGAACUUGUUUUCAUUGGAUCUGGAUGUUGCUGUUGUGGCUCAUCUGAAAUGGAUUAGCUGGCAAGGUCUUUAAGCUAGGUGUGAUAAUAAUGUGAUCACUCAAGCUUUCAAGGUCAUUGACAGCUGAUAAUGGUCCUUCGGGGACAACUCAUGUGGUUUGACCUCAAAUCAGGUAGGACUACCCGCUGAACUUAAGCAUAU